RNAcentral lists this small RNA (160 nucleotides) under Salmonella enterica subsp. arizonae serovar 62:z4,z23:-. RNAcentral's name for it is "Salmonella enterica subsp. arizonae serovar 62:z4,z23:-- isrQ Hfq binding RNA". It matches the Rfam family "isrQ Hfq binding RNA". The record is from Rfam by way of RNAcentral. Lineage: Bacteria; Pseudomonadati; Pseudomonadota; Gammaproteobacteria; Enterobacterales; Enterobacteriaceae.
UCAUGUCAGCUAACGUAUCACGACUAAAUGUAAGGGUAAAGCGGCUGAUGUAUUGUCCAGGCGCAAAAUCAUAUGGCCUGACCACAGAACGUGCCGCUUACUCUGGAAGGUGACUUUAUAAAUUGCCGCCGAAUUAUGUGACGCUGAAACGCGCAUUUUU